Molecule: non-coding RNA, 37 nt
Filed under: unclassified sequences
Description: DUF805b RNA
Rfam family: DUF805b RNA
About the family: Bacteroidetes, Chlorobi (1 example), Proteobacteria. Lineage (Flavobacteria)
Source: RNAcentral
AAGGCGGUAACCGAAAAGCCUGAACAGAGAGUAGGUA